Molecule: RNA transcript, 1577 nt
Organism: Solanum dulcamara
Lineage: Eukaryota; Viridiplantae; Streptophyta; Magnoliopsida; Solanales; Solanaceae
Gene name: protein IQ-DOMAIN 12-like
Exons: 5
Source: RefSeq, a predicted model, not a curated record
AAAAGGCUUUAUCUCUUUCUUUCAAUAAGGGUUUUUCUUCAACGUCUCUCUCUCUUUCAAUAAGGGCUUUUCUUCAGUUUCAGCGUCUUUCUCUCCUAUUCCUUCAUCUCUUCUUCAUUCUUCCCUUAUUCUUCAUCUUUUUGUUUGUUUCAGACGGAACUCAUAGAUUUUAGGUGCACAAUUGUAAUGAAAGGUCAGAAAUCUCUUAGAAGAAGCCUACAAAUUUGAAUUGUUGAUUCAACCGACAGUGAUGAAGUUAAUGUCGGUCCUACUUUUAGUUUGGGAAUUUCUGCAAAUCAAUCUCCACAAGAAGCUGGUGGUGAGGUUAAUCAAAAUCUUCAAGCAUUGCAUGUGAAGAAAAAGGGCGGUAGAAGUAAGAAAAAAUUUAGUGAAUUGAGUUCUAAAUCUAAAUCGAAAAGAAAACGAGUUGAUGUUGCAUCGGAAUCUAAGAAAUUUGUUGACAGUGAUGAUGAUUUUGAGGAUUUACCUCUUCAAUUUCAGUCAAAGAAAGUGAGACCUACAGUUGCUCAGGAGAAGAAUCCAAAAAGUCGAAAUCGAUUGUGCAAAAAAAUAGUUCUACUGGAGAGUUUUUAUCCGAAAACAGAAGGUGGCAGGUGUUUGAUAAAUCUGUUUGUUUGCUGAAGGACUCAUGAAUUUCUAAAAUGGGAAAGAGAAGAAACUGGUUUACCUUUGUCAAGAGACUUUCCAUUCCUGAAACAGAACCAAUAGCUGAUCAAAAGAAACCAAAGAGAUGGAAAUGUUGCUUUUUGAAAAAUUUCAAGUUGAGGAAAUGUCCUGCCAUAACAUCAGCUACUCAACAAACAUUAACUGAGGCGAAAGAACAGCAAAGGAAACAUGCUUUUGCAACUGCUGCCAAUGCUGCUGCUGAUGUUAUCCUUCUAACGAAUGCUCCAAACGAAUUCAAAAGGAAACACAAACAAGCUGCCAUUAAAAUCCAAAGUGCUUAUCGUGCUCACCUGUGCAGGCCAAGAAAGCAUUAAGUGCUAUAAAGGGUCUUGUGAAGCUUCAAGCAGUGAUUAGAGGUGAAAUUGUCAGAAGAAGACUUAUUGCCAAAUUAAAGUUCAUGUUGCCACUUCAUCAAAAGCCAAACACAAGAGUUUGUCAAAUUAAACUCCCUACUUUAGAAGAUUAUCAUGACAAUAAUGACAAGAAACUCAUCAAUAGUCCAAGGGAAAUUAUGAAAUCUAAAGAACUAAAGCUUAAAUGCAAGAGCCUUAGGGCUUCAAAUUUCAACUUGGCUUCAGAACAAGACAGUGAAGCCUUGUGGUCAAGAAGAGAAAAAGCCAUUAAAAAAUGAGAGCAUUUGAUGAAAUACUUAUUUUCACUCAGGACAAAAUCCUAGAUUUGCAGCAUUACUUCUUGACAUGAAAACAAUCAGAAAAAUGGAGCUAUAAUUGAAGCUUCAAACUUCUUGAGUAAUCUAUCUAUAGUUGAUUGAUGAAAGCCAGUGCACAUCUUUUAUUACUGAUUUUAACACUUCCAUAGACUUUCCACAAUGUGUAUAUAUAUUAUCAGCAUAAUAAUAGUAUUUCUUCAUGAUUUUAGUAGAACUGCAU